UGGGGAAUAUUGGACAAUGGGCGCAAGCCUGAUCCAGCAAUGCCGCGUGAGUGAUGAAGGCCUUCGGGUUGUAAAGCUCUUUCGCACGCGACGAUGAUGACGGUAGCGUGAGAAGAAGCCCCGGCUAACUUCGUGCCAGCAGCCGCGGUAAUACGAAGGGGGCUAGCGUUGUUCGGAAUUACUGGGCGUAAAGGGCGCGUAGGCGGCGUGUCAAGUCAGGCGUGAAAGCCCCGGGCUCAACCUGGGAACCGCGCUUGAGACUGGCAUGCUCGAGUUCGGGAGAGGAUGGUGGAAUUCCCAGUGUAGAGGUGAAAUUCGUAGAUAUUGGGAAGAACACCGAUGGCGAAGGCAGCCAUCUGGACCGACACUGACGCUGAGGCGCGAAAGCGUGGGGAGCAAACA
Molecule: ribosomal RNA, 402 nt
Filed under: uncultured Skermanella sp.
Lineage: Bacteria; Pseudomonadati; Pseudomonadota; Alphaproteobacteria; Rhodospirillales; Azospirillaceae
Description: bacterial SSU rRNA
Rfam family: Bacterial small subunit ribosomal RNA
Source: RNAcentral